AUUGAACGCUGGCGGCAUGCCUUACACAUGCAAGUCGAACGGCAGCACGGGUGCUUGCACCUGGUGGCGAGUGGCGAACGGGUGAGUAAUAUAUCGGAACGUGCCCUAGAGUGGGGGAUAACGUAGCGAAAGUUACGCUAAUACCGCAUACGAUCUACGGAUGAAAGUGGGGGAUCGCAAGACCUCAUGCUCCUGGAGCGGCCGAUAUCUGAUUAGCUAGUUGGUGGGGGAAAAGCCUACCAAAGCGACGAUCAGUAGCUGGUCUGAGAGGACGACCAGCCACACUGGGACUGAGACACGGCCCAGACUCCUACGGGAGGCAGCAGUGGGGAAUUUUGGACAAUGGGGGAAACCCUGAUCCAGCAAUGCCGCGUGUGUGAAGAAGGCCUUCGGGUUGUAAAGCACUUUUGUCAGGAACGAAACGGUGGGGGCUAAUACCUCCUGCUAAUGACGGUACCUGAAGAAUAAGCACCGGCUAACUACGUGCCAGCCGCCGCCGUAA
RNAcentral lists this ribosomal RNA (502 nucleotides) under uncultured bacterium. Its description in RNAcentral is "partial 16S ribosomal RNA". It matches the Rfam family "Bacterial small subunit ribosomal RNA", at positions 30 to 523 of the family's 1533-position model. The record is from RNAcentral.